RNAcentral lists this ribosomal RNA (460 nucleotides) under uncultured bacterium. Its description in RNAcentral is "partial 16S ribosomal RNA". It matches the Rfam family "Bacterial small subunit ribosomal RNA", at positions 338 to 795 of the family's 1533-position model. The record is from RNAcentral.
CCUACGGGUGGCAGCAGUGAGGAAUAUUGGUCAAUGGACGAGAGUCUGAACCAGCCAAGUAGCGUGAAGGAUGACUGCCCUAUGGGUGGUAAACUUCUUUUAUAUGGGAAUAAAACGUUCCACGAGUGGGAUUUUGUAUGUACCAUAUGAAUAAGGAUAGGCUAACUCCGUGCCAGCAGCCGCGGUAAUACGGAGGAUCCGAGCGUUAUCCGGAUUUAUUGGGUGUAAAGGGAGCGUAGGUUGAUUGUUAAGUCAGUUGUGAAAGUUGACGGCUCAACCGUAAAAUUGCAGUUGAAACUGGCAGUCUUGAGUACAGUAGAGGUGGGCGGAAUUCGUGGUGUAGCGGUGAAAUGCUUAGAGAUCACGAAGAACUCCGAUUGCGAAGGCAGUUCCCUGGACUACAACUGACACUGAGGCUCGAAAGUGUGGGUAUCAAACAGGAUUAGAUACCCCGGUAGUC